RNAcentral lists this ribosomal RNA (495 nucleotides) under uncultured bacterium. RNAcentral describes it as "bacterial SSU rRNA". It matches the Rfam family "Bacterial small subunit ribosomal RNA", at positions 505 to 998 of the family's 1533-position model. The record is from RNAcentral.
GUGCCAGCCGCCGCGGUAAUACGGAGGGUGCAAACGUUGCUCGGAAUCAUUGGGCGUAAAGCGCACGUAGGCGGUUCGUUAAGUCGGGUGUGAAAGCCCCAGGCUUAACCGGAAAAGUGCCCUUGAUACUGAUGAGCUCGAGGGAGGUAGGGGCAUGUGGAACUUCUGGUGGAGCGGUGAAAUGCGUUGAUAUCAGAAGGAACGCCGGUGGCGAAAGCGACGUGCUGGACCUCUUCUGACGCUGAGGCGCGAAAGCUAGGGGAGCAAACGGGAUUAGAUACCCCGGUAGUCCUAGCCCUAAACGAUGGGUACUAGGUUGUAGACUUGACAUGGGUUUACAGUCGAAGCAAAAGUGUUAAGUACCCCGCCUGGGGAGUAUGGUCGCAAGGCUGAAACUCAAAGGAAUUGACGGGGGCUCACACAAGCGGUGGAGCAUGUGGCUUAAUUCGAGGCUACGCGAAGAACCUUAUCCUGGGCUUGACAUGUGCGAAAGCG